This is a small nuclear RNA of Suncus etruscus (white-toothed pygmy shrew), 107 nucleotides long. NCBI's taxonomy places the organism in Eukaryota, Metazoa, Chordata, Mammalia, Eulipotyphla, Soricidae. The record is from RefSeq and is a predicted model, not a curated record.
GUAUAUACUUUGGCCGUACAUGCACUAAAACUCGAACAAUAUAGAUAAAAUCACCAUAGUCCCUGCGCCAAGAUGACAUGAAAAUUCAUGAAGCAGUCCAUAUUUUU